This 737-nucleotide ribosomal RNA is filed under the name Apiotrichum loubieri. RNAcentral describes it as "LSU rRNA". It matches the Rfam family "Eukaryotic large subunit ribosomal RNA", at positions 1 to 682 of the family's 3401-position model. Lineage: Eukaryota; Fungi; Basidiomycota; Tremellomycetes; Trichosporonales; Trichosporonaceae. The record is from RNAcentral.
GGUAUUGUGAAGCGCGCUUCUAAUCGUCUUCGGACAAUUUUUUGACUCUGGCCUCAAAUCAGGUAGGACUACCCGCUGAACUUAAGCAUAUCAAUAAGCGGAGGAAAAGAAACUAACAAGGAUUCCCUUAGUAACGGCGAGUGAACCGGGAAGAGCUCAAAUUUGAAAUCUGGCUGUCUUCGAUAGUCCGAGUUGUAAUCUAUAGAAGCGUUUUCCGUGCUGAACUGUGUCUAAGUCCCUUGGAACAGGGUAUCAAAGAGGGUGACAAUCCCGUACUUGACACAAUCAUCAGUGCUCUGUGAUACGCUCUCUACGAGUCGAGUUGUUUGGGAAUGCAGCUCAAAAUGGGUGGUAAAUUCCAUCUAAAGCUAAAUAUUGGCGAGAGACCGAUAGCGAACAAGUACCGUGAGGGAAAGAUGAAAAGCACUUUGGAAAGAGAGUUAAACAGUACGUGAAAUUGUUGAAAGGGAAACGAUUGAAGUCAGUCGUGUUCAUUGGAUUCAGCCGGUCUUCGGUGUACUUCCUUUGAACGGGUCAACAUCAGUUUUGCCCGGUGGAUAAAGGCAGUAGGAAUGUGGCCUCUCCGGAGGUGUUAUAGCCUAUUGUCACAUACACUGGGGGAGACUGAGGACUGCAGCUCGCCUUUUGGCCGGGGUUCGCCCACGUUCGAGCUUAGGAUGUUGACAUAAUGGCUUUAAACGACCCGUCUUGAAACACGGACCAAGGAGUCUAACAUA